UACAGAGGGGGCAAGCGUUGUUCGGAAUUACUGGGCGUAAAGGGCGCGUAGGCGGCCUUCUAAGUCGAACGUGAAAUCCCCGGGCUCAACCUGGGAACUGCCUUUGUGACUGCAAGGCUUGAGUGCGGCAGAGGGGGAUGGAAUUCCGCGUGUAGCAGUGAAAUGCGUAGAUAUGCGGAGGAACACCGAUGGCGAAGGCAAUCCCCUGGGCCUGCAUUGACGCUCAUGCACGAAAGCGUGGGGAGUAAACAGG
RNAcentral lists this ribosomal RNA (253 nucleotides) under uncultured bacterium. RNAcentral describes it as "partial 16S ribosomal RNA". It matches the Rfam family "Bacterial small subunit ribosomal RNA", at positions 524 to 776 of the family's 1533-position model. The record is from RNAcentral.